This 73-nucleotide transfer RNA is filed under the name Bos taurus (domestic cattle). It matches the Rfam family "tRNA". Rfam says of the family: Transfer RNA (tRNA) molecules are approximately 80 nucleotides in length. RNAcentral also lists the same sequence under 5 other names. The record is from Rfam by way of RNAcentral. Lineage: Eukaryota; Metazoa; Chordata; Mammalia; Artiodactyla; Bovidae.
UCCCUGGUGGCCUAGUGGUUAGGAUUCAUCACUUUCACUGCUGUGGCCUGGGGUUCAAUCCCUGGUCAGGGAA